AACGCACAUUGCGCCCGCUAGUAUUCUGGCGGGCAUGCCUGUUCGAGCGUCAUUUCAACCAUCAAGCCCCCGGCUUGCGUUGGAGCCCUGCGGCUGCCGCAGGCUCCCAAAUACAGUGGCGGGCUCGUCGUCGUACCGAGUGCAGUAAACAUCCUCGCUCAGGGAACGCGUCGGGUUCUUGCCGUGAAACCCCCCCAUAUCAAGGUUGACCUCGGAUCAGGUAGGAAUACCCGCUGAACUUAA
RNAcentral lists this unclassified non-coding RNA (243 nucleotides) under uncultured Ascomycota. Its description in RNAcentral is "sequence contains ITS2". Lineage: Eukaryota; Fungi; Ascomycota. The record is from RNAcentral.